GAAGGGUGCUCAGCGCCCGAUUGAAAAAAUUUGUUGUUAAAACUACCUUGUUGCUUUGGCGGGACCGGUCGGUCUCGAGCCGCUGGGGAUUCGUCCCAGGCGAGCGCCCGCCAGAGUUAAACCAAACUCUUGUUAUUAAACCGGUCGUCUGAGUUAAAAUUUUGAAUAAAUCAAAACUUUCAACAACGGAUCUCUUGGUUCUCGCAUCGAUGAAGAACGCAGCGAAAUGCGAUAAGUAAUGUGAAUUGCAGAAUUCAGUGAAUCAUCGAAUCUUUGAACGCACAUUGCGCCCCUUGGUAUUCCGAGGGGCAUGCCUGUUCGAGCGUCAUUACACCACUCAAGCUAUGCUUGGUAUUGGGUGCCGUCCUUAGUUGGGCGCGCCUUAAAGACCUCGGCGAGGCCUCACCGGCUUUAGGCGUAGUAGAAUUUAUUCGAACGUCUGUCAAAGGAGAGGACUUCUGCCGACUGAAACCUUUAUUUUUCUAGGUUGACCUCGGGAUCAGGUAGGGAUACCCGCUG
This 519-nucleotide ribosomal RNA is filed under the name Aureobasidium sp. PE117. RNAcentral describes it as "eukaryotic LSU rRNA". The stretch from base 175 to 328 matches the Rfam family "5.8S ribosomal RNA". The record is from RNAcentral. Lineage: Eukaryota; Fungi; Ascomycota; Dothideomycetes; Dothideales; Saccotheciaceae.